Molecule: ribosomal RNA, 253 nt
Filed under: uncultured bacterium
Lineage: Bacteria
Description: partial 16S ribosomal RNA
Rfam family: Bacterial small subunit ribosomal RNA
Source: RNAcentral
UACGGAGGGGGCGAGCGUUAUUCGGAAUUAUUGGGCGUAAAGGGCGCGUAGGCGGCUGGGCAAGUCAAAGGUGAAAUCCCUCGGCUCAACUGAGGAACUGCCUUUGAAACUGCCUGGCUUGAGGCCGGGAGGGGGUAGCGGAAUUCCCAGUGUAGCGGUGAAAUGCGUAGAUAUUGGGAGGAACACCAGUGGCGAAGGCGGCUACCUGGACCGGUUCUGACGCUGACGCGCGAAAGCCAGGGGAGCAAACGGG